This is a long non-coding RNA of Chionomys nivalis (European snow vole), 1155 nucleotides long. RefSeq lists it as uncharacterized. The transcript has 2 exons. NCBI's taxonomy places the organism in Eukaryota, Metazoa, Chordata, Mammalia, Rodentia, Cricetidae. The record is from RefSeq and is a predicted model, not a curated record.
CUGUAAAUCCCAGCCCUUGGGUGGAGACAGAAUCAGUUCAAGGCUAUUCUGGGCAAUGUGAGACUCUGUCUCCUGGAAGAAAAGGAGGGAGAAGGUUGAGGUAAGCCGGGGACAGCUCAGUGGAUAAAGCGUGAUGACUAGAGUUUGGCUCCCCAACACCCACAAAAAUGCUAAGUGGUCGUUGUUGUUCCUUUGGAGACAAGGCCACACAUGCGCAGAAAAUACAGUCUCCAAGUGGACUACAAACCCCAAAAUGCCCAGAGCCCUUUAAAAAUGGGCGUUCCAACCCGCCCUCUCUCUCUCUCCUCGCGCCCUCCCCUCCUCUUUCCCUUUCGUCUCUUCACUCCCGUUCCUUGUAUGUUACCCUCCCCCAUUAAAGUUUACCCACGUGGGACCCCGCGUGUCUUGUCUCUCCUUCCCCAACCCCGCGCGUCUCGUGUCUCCCCCUCCCGAACAACACCCCCGCAUUUAAAAAAUAAUAACAUUUUGGUGCCGUCUGCUCGGGGACCUUCUCGCCCCGGGGCCCUCACCUGAGGCCUCGGCUCUGGGUUUUGGCGCCUCCUGGAGCUCGGGGCCUCCCCCGGGACAAGGUCAAAACCGGACGACCUGCGACCACUCCACGUGUUCCAGCCAUCUCGACACGGCCCUCCCUCUCCAACCGUUAGCGGCUAAUUCCAUCCUAACGGUGACCCAGCCACUCAAGAGCCAGACAGAUACAAUCUCCAGACAGAUGCGAUUUCUUCAAUCAGCCACUUGAUGCCAGCGGACAAAACAUCGAUAUGACAUCAUCAGGACAAUAGGACGCUCCCCGGACCCCUCGACGCCCAAAGUCAGCAGGAAGCAGUCAUGAGAGACCGGGCUACGCCCCUAUUCCCUACCCGUUAAGACCCUCAACCCCCCCCUCAAUUUUUUUUUUUUUUUUAAUAAAACCAAAAGGGUGGAAUGUUGUUCCUUUGGAGACAAGGCCACACAUGCGCAGAAAAUACAGUCUCCAAGUGGACUACAAACCCCAAAAUGCCCAGAGCCCUUUAAAAAUGGGCGUUCCAACCCGCCCUCUCUCUCUCUCCUCGCGCCCUCCCCUCCUCUUUCCCUUUCGUCUCUUCACUCCCGUUCCUUGUAUGUUACCCUCCCCCAUUAAAGUUUACCCACGUGGGA